CAAUAGCGUAUAUUAAAGUUGUUGCAGUUAAAAAGCUCGUAGUUGGAUUUCUGGUGGGAGCACGGGUCGGCCCUCACGGGUUGUACUGUUGUUGCGUCCCGCCGUUUCGGAGGGAAUGGUCUCGCUAUUAAGUUAGCGUGAUCGGGAACUCUGUCGUUUACUGUGAAAAAUUAGAGUGUUCAAAGCAGGCCUUCGCUGUGAAUACAUUAGCAUGGAAUAAUAAGAUAGGACUGUAGUGCUAUUUUGUUGGUUUGCGUACUAUGGUAAUGAUUAAUAGGGAUAGUUGGGGGUAUUCAUAUUCAAUUGUCAGAGGUGAAAUUCUUGGAUUUAUGGAAGAUGAACUACUGCGAAAGCAUUUACCAAGGAUGUUUUCAUUAAUCAAGAACGAAAGUUAGGGGAUCGAAGAUGAUUAGAUACCAU
Molecule: ribosomal RNA, 420 nt
Filed under: uncultured eukaryote
Lineage: Eukaryota
Description: SSU rRNA
Rfam family: Eukaryotic small subunit ribosomal RNA
Source: RNAcentral